Non-coding RNA from Paramuricea clavata, 299 nucleotides. NCBI's taxonomy places the organism in Eukaryota, Metazoa, Cnidaria, Anthozoa, Malacalcyonacea, Plexauridae. The record is from the annotation of a GenBank genome assembly.
UGUUGAUAUACAGGGUGUAUCAAUAAAAACGCAACCUCGGAAUUUCCUAAGAAAUCACUUUGCAAUUCUUAAGCAUAAAAGAUUUUAGGCCCCUGGGAAUUGAAAUCGAAUUGCUAAUAGAUCAUAUUACUGUUGUUUUGCAUUAAAUAAAUGCAUAAAUUUUGCUUUAUGCACUCGCGUGUGCAGUAAUUUUGACAGUUAUGCUAUUUUAAAUUCCCAGGCGCCUUAAAUCUUUUGUCUUUAAAACAAUGUCGAUUUCUUGGGAAAUUCCGAGGUUGCGCUUUUUUUGAUACACCCUG